This 561-nucleotide ribosomal RNA is filed under the name Salmonella enterica. RNAcentral's name for it is "partial 23S ribosomal RNA". It matches the Rfam family "Bacterial large subunit ribosomal RNA", at positions 711 to 1268 of the family's 2925-position model. RNAcentral also lists the same sequence under 2 other names. The record is from RNAcentral. Lineage: Bacteria; Pseudomonadati; Pseudomonadota; Gammaproteobacteria; Enterobacterales; Enterobacteriaceae.
AGACCCGAAACCCGGUGAUCUAGCCAUGGGCAGGUUGAAGGUUGGGUAACACUAACUGGAGGACCGAACCGACUAAUGUUGAAAAAUUAGCGGAUGACCUGUGGCUGGGGGUGAAAGGCCAAUCAAACCGGGAGAUAGCUGGUUCUCCCCGAAAGCUAUUUAGGUAGCGCCUCGUGAAUUCAUCUCCGGGGGUAGAGCACUGUUUCGGCUAGGGGGCCAUCCCGGCUUACCAACCCGAUGCAAACUGCGAAUACCGGAGAAUGUUAUCACGGGAGACACACGGCGGGUGCUAACGUCCGUCGUGAAGAGGGAAACAACCCAGACCGCCAGCUAAGGUCCCAAAGUCAUGGUUAAGUGGGAAACGAUGUGGGAAGGCCCAGACAGCCAGGAUGUUGGCUUAGAAGCAGCCAUCAUUUAAAGAAAGCGUAAUAGCUCACUGGUCGAGUCGGCCUGCGCGGAAGAUGUAACGGGGCUAAACCAUGCACCGAAGCUGCGGCAGCGACGCUUAUGCGUUGUUGGGUAGGGGAGCGUUCUGUAAGCCUGUGAAGGUGGCCUGUGAGG